This 449-nucleotide ribosomal RNA is filed under the name uncultured bacterium. Its description in RNAcentral is "partial 16S ribosomal RNA". It matches the Rfam family "Bacterial small subunit ribosomal RNA", at positions 29 to 523 of the family's 1533-position model. The record is from RNAcentral.
AACGAACGCUGGCGGCAUGCCUAACACAUGCAAGUCGAACGAGAUCUUCGGGUCUAGUGGCGCACGGGUGCGUAACGCGUGGGAAUCUGCCCUUUGGUUCGGAAUAACAGUUGGAAACGACUGCUAAUACCGGAUGAUGACGAAAGUCCAAAGAUUUAUCGCCAGAGGAUGAGCCCGCGUAGGAUUAGCUAGUUGGUGUGGUAAAGGCGCACCAAGGCGACGAUCCUUAGCUGGUCUGAGAGGAUGAUCAGCCACACUGGGACGGGGACACGGGCCAGACUCCUACGGGAGGCAGCAGUGGGGAGUAUUGGACAAUGGGCGAAAGCCUGAUCCAGCAAUGCCGCGUGAGUGAUGGAGGCCUUAGGGUUGUAAAGCUCUUUUACCCGGGAUGAUAAUGACAGUACCGGGAGAAUAAGCUCCGGCUAACUCCGUGCCAGCCGCCGCUGUAA